AUUAUAUGGAUCAAGGUGCUUGGAACUUUUGGAUACACAACAAAGGUCCUCUUGGGUGGUCGACUCAGUAUGUAGCCACAUUUGGAACCAACCCAUGGAAGCAUGAUGCAGCUAAACCUUUCAACCUGCAGCUUCAUGAUCUCAGUAAAAAGUUGCAAGGCCAAUAUUCUGAUGCAAAUGUCACAUAUGUUGAUAUCUUCUCUGGUUUUAGCAACCUAUUAUGGCUUGCUUUGGGUAUGGAGGUCCACCUUUGAACUAUAACAGUCGGGUUUUACCCUGCUUUAAAUUUCAGGACACAUUAGUACUUUGCAAAGCUACAUUGACCUGGUUUGUCUCCGAAGAUGGGUAGUAUUAUCCAGCAUGUCCCUCAUGCUUGAAGCAAAUGAGGCAAAAGCCACAAAGUGAAAUCGUAAUCUGUCUAGAGCAUGAAAUACAGCAAGUUGUUCAAAGCAACAGGCUCUCAAAUGAGAUGCCGAACGAGCUGUUUCUUGCCGCCAAUGAUGCAACUGACAUGAAGAAAUCAACGGAGGACACUUCUAAGGAGUUAAAGUAGUUGGUUCCAACUGCAAACAUAUAAAUUUUUUGCUCAAGUCUAAAUCAUUUUUUGCUAAAGUAGUUGGUUAGCAUCUCUUAUUUUGAAAUUUGUAAAUACACUUCUGGUCAAGAUACCAGAAUUUGGAAUCUGUAAAACAAUAUUAUCUUU
Rosa rugosa (rugosa rose) is the source of this 703-nucleotide long non-coding RNA. RefSeq lists it as uncharacterized. NCBI's taxonomy places the organism in Eukaryota, Viridiplantae, Streptophyta, Magnoliopsida, Rosales, Rosaceae. The record is from RefSeq and is a predicted model, not a curated record. The transcript is spliced from 3 exons.